This 812-nucleotide long non-coding RNA is filed under the name Oryctolagus cuniculus (rabbit). RNAcentral's name for it is "lncRNA (ENSOCUG00000036243.1)". Lineage: Eukaryota; Metazoa; Chordata; Mammalia; Lagomorpha; Leporidae. The record is from RNAcentral.
GAAAAAAAAGAAAAAGAAUGAGAGAAAUGCCCUAUGCUUCAUAUCUUUUAAAAACCUCUGGUAUUUGAUAUUGCCGUCAGCCCUUCCAGCCUUCUGCAGAAGACUCACUGAAGACGAAGACUUGUCUAUAUCCAUCCAAGUUGAAGUGAUGGAGACAUAUGUACAGGGAAUAAUGGAUGUUUCCCUAGAGCCUAAUCCAAGGGCUAAUAGGAGGCUGCAGAGAACUAGAUACAAGUCAUGGUCUGCUCCUUGAAAUUUCCUGGAGAAGUCGCCGAUUUAGUGAGGAUACAAAAGGAGAGUAAAAUUCAGCCUGCCAGUUGGCUCCAAUGACAUGAGGAGAAAGAAGUGUCAACUGGAACUGCCUCAUCCUCCUCCAUUCUACUUCAUUGUUGCAGUGUGGAAGUGCAAUUUCUGGGCAUUGGUGACACCAGUAAGCGCAAAAUAGGACACUGACUACCAUGAACUCCUCCUGUCUGAUUUGAUCAUUUGUUGACAAGUGUAUCUGUGAGGAGUGGGGGUAGCUUGGUGCUUCUCUUUGCCAACUGUCACCAAUGGGAGUGAAAGAAAGCAAAGUGCCAGCUACCACAGCUUCUAAAGAUUAUAAAAUGUGCAAGAGAGAAACGCCAGAUUACUCUCAGAGGAUCUCCAAUUAGACUCACAGCAGACUUCUCAUCAGAAACCCUACAGGCUAGGAGGGAAUGGUAAGAGAUAGCCCAACUACUAAGAGAAAAAAACGGCCAUCCCAGAAUAUUAUAUCCAGCAAAGAUCUCAUUAGUGAAUGAAGGUGAAAUAAAGACCUUUCAUGACAAACA